This 763-nucleotide ribosomal RNA is filed under the name uncultured Russula. RNAcentral describes it as "partial 28S ribosomal RNA". It matches the Rfam family "Eukaryotic large subunit ribosomal RNA", at positions 216 to 958 of the family's 3401-position model. Lineage: Eukaryota; Fungi; Basidiomycota; Agaricomycetes; Russulales; Russulaceae. The record is from RNAcentral.
GAAUCCCGUCUUUGGCAUGGAUGACCGGGGCUUUUGUGAUGCGCUCUCGAAAAGUCAAGUUGUUUGGGAAUGCAGCUCAAAAUGGGUGGUGAACUCCAUCUAAAGCUAAAUAUUGGCGAGAGACCGAUAGCGAACAAGUACCGUGAGGGAAAGAUGAAAAGCACUUUGGAAAGAGAGUGAAACAGUACGUGAAAUUGUUGAAAGGGAAACGCUUGAAGUCAGUCGCGUCGGCCGAGACUCAGCCUUGCCUCGGCUUGGUGUACUUCUUGACCGACGGGUCAGCAUCAAUUUUGCCCCUUGGAUAAUGGCGAGGGAAAUGUGACACCUUUAUAGGUGUGUUAUAGUCUCUCGUCGCAUGCAAGGGUCGGGGUUGAGGAACUCAGCACGCGCCUUCGGGCGUCGGGGCCUUGCCCACGAUACGUGCUUAGGAUGUUGGCGUAAUGGCUUUAAACGACCCGUCUUGAAACACGGACCAAGGAGUCUAACAUGCCCGCGAGUGUUCGGGUGGAAAACCCGUGCGCGCAAUGAAAGUGAAAGUUGGGACCUCUGUCGCGGAGGGCACCGACGCCCGGACCAGAGCUUCUGCGACGGAUCUGCGGUGGAGCGUGUAUGUUAGGACCCGAAAGAUGGUGAACUAUGCCUGAAUAGGGUGAAGCCAGAGGAAACUCUGGUGGAGGCUCGUAGCGAUUCUGACGUGCAAAUCGAUCGUCAAAUUUGGGUAUAGGGGGCGAAAGACUAAUCGAACCAUCUAGUAGCUGGUUCC